This 368-nucleotide ribosomal RNA is filed under the name uncultured Glomeromycotina. RNAcentral describes it as "eukaryotic LSU rRNA". The record is from RNAcentral. Lineage: Eukaryota; Fungi; Glomeromycota.
UUGAAAGGGAAACGAUUGAAGUCAGUCGUACCGACGAGAAAUCAACUUAUCGUGUGCGAACUUGUGGGCGUGCGUGAGUUUCGGCCUCGCUGUUUGCAUGUUUGUGCGUUUUGGGUGUACUUUUUCGUAUGGUAGGCCAACGUCAGUUUCGAUUAUCAUAAAAUGACCGGCGGAAUGUAGCUUCGAUUUCGGUUGAAGUGUUAUAGCCUCUGGUAGAUGUGGUGAUUGAGACUGAGGAUUGCAACGAAUACCCUUUGGGCUAUCCGUCUGGCCUCUGAAAGUUGCUCAGGUGCCGAAAGCGUGCUUACGGUCAUCUAAGAUAACGUUCAACAGGUUAGAACGUGAUUACAUUCGUUAAGGAUGUUGAC